UCCAGAAUUCGUCAAUGACUCCACAUCCGAAUCAGUAGUAGCCUUGAUGCCGAUUGCUCGCUUCCAGACUCAUUCCUCGAUUCUUGAUCUCCGCUUGUGUUGAGUGGAGACCGAUCAUAUUAUGUGCGUCAGAUCGUUGGCAUCGAAUGAGACUGUUAUGGGAGGAACAUUGCCGCCGAAGGUGAUGUCUGCUAGGGCUGGCGAGGGCGAGUUCAAGGGCCAAGUCGUCUCGGUGAAGAUCAUCUCGAAAGUGAAGCUUGAACUGGAGACGAGGUCUGUGAAGUGAUCCUUUCCCCAAUGAACGAAUAUUAUAAGAAGUAAUUAUUGGGAUCCAGGAAGUGGCUUGUUUGAAUUACAGAUAGGGGAAGAACGUGGUCAAGGGCAACCUGAUAUGUGGUUUGGUCGAGAGCCUGGUACAACUCCGAUAAGGUACUCUGAUAUAAAUUUAUUUUCAUUGCAACUUGGAUGUGAUCCCUUCUCCUUUU
Molecule: RNA transcript, 485 nt
Organism: Nymphaea colorata (pocket water lily)
Lineage: Eukaryota; Viridiplantae; Streptophyta; Magnoliopsida; Nymphaeales; Nymphaeaceae
Exons: 3
Source: RefSeq, a predicted model, not a curated record